UCUUAGUGGUUAUGGUUGCGAGGACAUUUGCGACGGUCCACCGGGUCCAAAUUGUGCAAACAACUCUUUCCUCUUCAUCCCCAAUAACCCCAUCAAACCUGUUGACUACAAAAAAGUUAAUGGCCUCAACGAUGCCCUAGUUGACUAUCUCGCCUUACUCAAUAACCUAGGCUCUCUUUCCUCGAUCGAUAAUUUCAUCUUUUCCUGUGCCCGAACUGGUUUUCUGAAAGGCCUGGCUAAGGGUGUAACUGGCUUAGCCUCCCUGGGCAACUCAAACCUCUCAAUCCCAGUACAGAUCAAUAAAGCCUUCUCUUCCUCUCCAAAUUGUUUUGCUAUGUGCUUGUCAGGAUCCAUCUCUCAACCUGGUGUGGCUCUUUUCGGUAGUAAGGGGCCUUAUAAUUUCUUGCAUGGAAUUGACCUCUCAAAAUCACUUCUUUACACUCCUCUUAUUUUUAACCCGUUUGGAAAAGAUUUUGAUCCGUAUUCCCACAGAUCUCCUGAGUAUUAUGUAGGGCUGACUUCCAUAAAAGUGAACGGAAAGAUGGUGGCUUUUAACAAAGCGCUGUUGGCCUUUAAUGAUCGAGGUUAUGGGGGGGACCAGGAUUAGCACUGUUGUGCCAUACACGAAGUUACAGAGUUCUAUUUACAAGGCUUUUACCCUGGCUUUCUUGAAGGAAGCAGCUUCCUCUGCUUUCAAUCUUACUACAACAAAGCCUGUCAAGCCAUUCAGAGUCUGCUACCCUGCGGGUGCUGUGAAGACUACACAAAUGGGACCGGCUGUACCAAUAAUCGAACUUGUGUUGGAUAGACAAGAUGUGGUUUGGAAGAUGUUUGGAUCGAACUCUAUGGUGAGGGUUACGAAGAAGAGUGUCGAUGUUUGGUGCUUGGGUUUUGUGGAUGGUGGGAUUGAUGGCCCAUCGAUCAUGAUUGGUGGUCUUCAGUUGGAGGACAAUUUGCUACAAUUCGAUCUACAGUCACAGAAACUGGGUUUCAGUUCAUCAAUUUUGUCCAAGGGGACCAAUUGCGCAGACUACGAAUUUCCUACCAGAAAAGUUUAAAAAGAUGAUGUAUUUAUACCAUCCACCAUGUACUGUAUGCAUGCUUUCGUUGAGUUUUUCUACCUUCGUUGAGCUAAGGGGCAAAGACAGGCCUAUCUAGCUUUGUAAUAAAAGUCCGUGUUCUCAAAUAAAUGAAUUUAAAUUUCACAUAAUUAUUGUGUCGUUGUGGUCAACUUAAAUUUAAAACAACUGUUGCGACCAAGUUAAGUCAUCAAAAUAUGCUCCACUCAUGCAAUAGUAAGCAAUUGCACCUCUGCGACUACCACUACAAACAUCGAUGAGAAUUAUGAAAGCCCUUUUGAGUGCUUGACUUCUUUGACUUUUGAUGACGAUGAUGAACUCAACCCAUUUUAUUUUCCAAAUCUUGCUGCUAAGCCAAGAAACAACAAUUGUUUACAAGAAUUGCAAGAUUCUUACAAGUCCUUUUCUCCUAGCUUCACCACCAGUAUUGGUCUUCAAGAGAAUAAUAAUAAUAAUAAUAAUAAUAAUCGUAGCUCCUCCAAUUCUGAUUUUGGGGUCAUUUUUAGUGGCCAGAAUCAACAACUUGCACGACAAUGUAAGGAAGAGGAGAUGGGUUCCCAUAACUGUUGCUCUUUUUUUUUCUUUGGCAACUCCAUUUUUAAUCCACACAAGAGACUGCUUUCACAUUUCUCUACUACGUUUGUAAAUGAUACUCGCAACGUGGCAAUUCAAUUCCAUCCUAUAAUUAAAAACAAUUGCUUGAAACAGAUGUAAGGAACUAUCAGAUGAAAAUCAUACAAAAUCAGAAUUAAAGACACUCAAGGCACAGUGAAAGUGAGGAAAUUAAGGAAUCUUCCUAAAAUAAAUGACAGUUCAAUGCCUAAGGCUAACAGAUUGAUAAAUUGGAUCAAAAUGUCUUUCACUAUUAUUGGUGCUCACAACAUGGUUAUGGCUUCUUCCAUUUUUGUCAGACUUUAAUGAACUUAUAUGCAAUCACCUCACAUAUAGACAUAGGAGUGUAUCCAGAGGUUCAGAAACAUACCAAUCCUGUGAAUGUAUGAAGCAGCACAAUCUGGGAAAUCAUAAUUAAUCACACACUUGACACCUUUGAAAUCCAUACCCCGACCAAGCACAUCAGUUGCAAUCAAAACCCAUGUCUUUCCAGCUCUGAAGUCAUCGAUUACACUCUCUCGCUGAGUUCAAUGAAAAAGACCAGUGUAAAGUACUAUAACUGCUAGGAUAACUAAGUAACAGGAAUCUAUGAUAUUAAAUGCCACGAACAAUGAAACAGAUUCAGCAGAGUUCUGGAAGGCCCUGCAAGAGUGGGCACCAGGAUCUUCAUUGAUUUUCCUUCUUCACAUUAUUGAUUACCAAAGAAUGCAAGCUUGACCAUAUAAAUGGAACUCCAAGUGCCGUGACGCUUUGUAAAUUGCAAACACUACCUUUUAAAUAAAAAUUCAUCAUGGUCUUAAAAGCAUGUUUAAAAAAAAAAUUUAAAACAAAGUCUUGACAUUUUAUAUAUAAUUAAAGAUUAAAAAAUAUUAUAAAUGUGAUAAAAUUAUUUAAAAAAUAGUUAAAUUGUUAUUUUUCUUUGAGGUUUUAUCGGUUAAAUAGUUAAAUUGUAACCUAACCGGCUAGCCCUAACAAUUAACAUAACCUUCCUCUUCCUGCCUCUCACAAAAAGCUGCCUCUUGCCCAGAGAAAUUCUCAAUCUUCCUCUCAAUUAAUUCCCAAUCUUCCUUUCUCAGUUUCCUCUCAAUGCAUGUUGUGGACUUGAGUCAAUAGGCUCCCAAAAAAGUCGUCUAAAUCAGCCGAUAGUCGUGAUGGAAGCGGAACAUCUACCUCCUCAUCAAAUGCUUCUACAAGCUCAAGAAACAGUGAUCUAGUCAGUAAAGCAAGAAUAGGCUGACAUCAUCAUUUUUUGGAUUUGCUACAUGAAUUAGUUCAGUGAGGGGGGCCAUAGCAAACUUCAAGCUAACAGAACUAAUGCCUCACUCAUCUACUAACUAUUAUAUUUCUUUAUCUUGCUGAAGUGUUUGGGAACAUCAGUUAGACCAGACCGUAGAGUAUGGCUCCCCGUAUCGUGUCUUUUUGGUAGUUUCGAUCAAGGAAUUGAAACCGAAACAAAUCUUCUUCACUCUGCUGAACGAAUGAGUCUAAAUGAUGGGAUUAGGUUUCCCGGUUUUUUGCCAAAAAAACCGGAUUUAACCGAACUGGACCGGUUCGGUUUGAACCAGUUUUCGGUCCGAUUCGAUUAAUAUUUCACAAAAUUAAUGUAAUUUGGUUCGGUUGGUUUUUUUAGUCUAAACCGAACCGAACCGAACCGUGAACACCCCUAGUGUUAACAACAUGCAUGGAGUUGUAAAUGACAACAGUAAUCCUUAUAGGACUAUGGUUAUGGAUACGAUGAGAAUAAAUCAAAGUCAUGUCACUCAAUGUCCAAUCAUAGAUGAAGAACCUAAUACAGACAUGGAUAGGUUUUUUUUAUCUUCUGAAAGAUUCUGACGAACCAUUAUGGGAUGUCUACACAAAUCAUAGUAAAUUAUCGGUCGUUGCACAAGUACUCUACCAUCAAGUCAGAUUAUGGAUUAAGUGAGGCCGGUUAUGACAGAAUUGUCGAAUAGGCUGAAAGAGAACUUCUAUGUUAUUAAGUCCAUAAUGAAACCCCUCGGUCUAAGCUACUAGAAAAUUGACAUGUGUCUAAACUUCUGCAUAUUGUACUCCCUUGAAAAUGUCAAGCUGACCAAGUGCAGGACAUGUAGCAUUCCUAUUAUAAACAAUUGCAAACUUGAGAUGAUAUUCCCUCCAUCGUUUUUUGACUCAAUGGAGCAUCUACCCAUACAUUUGCCAUAUGAGGCAAAAUUUAGAGGUUUAGUCCAAUAUAGAUUGAUGUAUAGAUGUUAGAGAUUACACAUGCAUUGUAAUUAAAAAUGUAUUUCAUUGUUUAUUGUUAAUUGAAAACAUUUGUUUAAUUCCAGGUACCUAUUCAACCUUAAAAAAUUGUUAAAAACAAGGUGUAUGUUGAAGCUUUAUCUUGUAUGAUUUUAUGAGUCAACUCAUGAUUUUGUCAGCAUUGAACCCAAUAUAAUUAAAAAAAAUGACAAACAUGCAACCAGCAACUUUGCGAAACACUAACUAAAUCUCAAUGAUUUUGUUGUUCACCUUCGUAUAGGUAGAUUGGUGGGUUAAACUAAUAAAUACACCACCAUGGCAUGAACAGUUAUUUUUUGUAUGCAAACCUAGUUUUAAUUAAAGAAUAUAUAAAUUACCAAAAAAAAAUACAAAUUUGCAAAAUUAGGGAAUAUAUCUGCAUUGACGAAAAGUCAAAUACGUUUCUCCAAUAUAUAUUUUUUAACUAAUCAUUUAUAUCAACUUUUAGGAAACCAUGUUGUGUUAUCCAUGAAGACACACACUCACAGAAUGCUACAAGUUGCUUCUUUAUCCGAGUCAAAUCAAUUACAGUAGGCAAAAUUCCUAAGCGGUAUGCCGUCAUGUGCAGCACACGGAGAGAUCUUGAGAUUCAUCGCCGGCAGAACAGAACAUGCACGUACUUCCAAUGUAACACAGGGCUCCAUGCCAACUCUAUAAAUGACUCUCACAUGAUUAUCUAGAUCAUAAUUAAUCCUGCUCUCAACAACACUCGAAACAAUUAUCAAUGGCAAAGCUAGCAGUCCCUCUUCUGAUUUUUUUCUUCCUCUUAUCGUGUAUCCCUUCUCAAGCAGCUCCUCCCCUCCAAACGCCCCUCCAAACGCCAAUCCAGAAGGACCAUUCAACCGGCCAAUAUAUCAUCACUGCAUACCUAAAAACCCCUCUCAUGCCCACCAAAUUGGUCUUGGAUCUUGGUGCUACAUACAGCUGGGUAAAUUGCGACGACUACAUUUCCUCCACUUACCAACAUGUCCCCUGUAACAGUUCCAUCGCUAAUUCUCUUGGUUCUUAUGGUUGCGUGGAGAUUUGCGACGGUCCACCGGGUCCAAAUUGUGCAAACAACUCUUUCUUCUUCCUCCCCGAUAACCCCAUCAAACCUGUUGACUACAAAAAAGUUAAUGGCCUCAACGACGCCCUGGUUGACUAUCUCGCCUUGCUCAAUAACCUAGGCUCUCUUUCCUCGAUCGAUAAUUUCAUCUUUUCCUGUGCCCGAACUGGUUUUCUGAAAGGCCUG
Molecule: long non-coding RNA, 5181 nt
Filed under: Populus trichocarpa (black cottonwood)
Lineage: Eukaryota; Viridiplantae; Streptophyta; Magnoliopsida; Malpighiales; Salicaceae
Description: long non-coding RNA (PTRI_LNC004197)
Source: RNAcentral